UACGAAGGGGGCUAGCGUUGCUCGGAAUCACUGGGCGUAAAGCGCACGUAGGCGGCUUUUUAAGUCGGGGGUGAAAUCCUGGAGCUCAACUCCAGAACUGCCUUUGAUACUGAGAAGCUUGAGUCCGGGAGAGGUGAGUGGAACUGCGAGUGUAGAGGUGAAAUUCGUAGAUAUUCGGAAGAACACCAGUGGCGAAGGCGACUCACUGGCCCGAUACUGACGCUGAGGCGCGAAAGCGUGGGGAGCAAACAGG
Molecule: ribosomal RNA, 253 nt
Filed under: uncultured bacterium
Lineage: Bacteria
Description: partial 16S ribosomal RNA
Rfam family: Bacterial small subunit ribosomal RNA
Source: RNAcentral